Molecule: long non-coding RNA, 271 nt
Filed under: Marmota monax (woodchuck)
Lineage: Eukaryota; Metazoa; Chordata; Mammalia; Rodentia; Sciuridae
Source: RNAcentral
UUAUUUUCACAUUGCACUGGGAUUGGCAUGCCCUCUUCUUUAUGCUCUCCCAGUGCUGGAUAGCCCUUGCACUCUGCAGGUCUUGUUACCAUUGCACGCAGAUGGGUUUCAGGACUGGUACUUCUUCUCUGCUAUAGAAUCUAUACCUUCCUCUAGGGCUUGGGGAUUGUGUUGCCAACUUAAAUUUUGUCAUUACUACCAGGCUACCUGUGUUAUCCUAUUUCUCACCGUCGUCACGAUGCAGGAUGCGAGGCAAGGCACUGCACUUGAG